CGAACCUGGUUGAUCCUGCCAGUCGUGAUAUGCUUGUCUCAAAGAUUAAGCCAUGCAUGUGUAGGUAUAACCUGUAUACCGGUAAACUGCGAAUGGCUCGGUAAAUCAGUUAUAGUUUAUUUGAUAGUGCAUCCUACUCGGAUAACCGUAGUAACACUAGAGCUAAUACGUGCGUAAAUCCCGACUUUUGGAAG
RNAcentral lists this ribosomal RNA (194 nucleotides) under uncultured eukaryote. RNAcentral's name for it is "partial 18S ribosomal RNA". It matches the Rfam family "Eukaryotic small subunit ribosomal RNA", at positions 1 to 195 of the family's 1831-position model. The record is from RNAcentral.